Vespula pensylvanica (western yellowjacket) is the source of this 215-nucleotide small nucleolar RNA. RefSeq annotates it as small nucleolar RNA U3. NCBI's taxonomy places the organism in Eukaryota, Metazoa, Arthropoda, Insecta, Hymenoptera, Vespidae. The record is from RefSeq and is a predicted model, not a curated record. The transcript has a single exon.
AAGAUCAUACUUCACAGGAUCAUUUCUGUAGUAUAUCUUCGGAUCUGCUCUGCGAAAUGCUGAGUUGAUGCAGCCACGAUGACGAGACAUAGCUCUCUUCCUUGAGCGUGAGAACGACUUGCAGUUUGAUUAAAGUCAAAUUGUUAGUCAUCGAUGAUCGUUCACUUUCCUUACUCAGUAGGGAGAGCCAUGGGAAGUAGAGCUUUCUGAGUGGU